CCCAGGUUAGCUCAGUUGGUAGAGCGCUCCACUGGAAAUGGAGAGGUCCCGGGUUCGAUACCCGAACCAGGCG
Molecule: transfer RNA, 73 nt
Filed under: Ixodes scapularis (black-legged tick)
Lineage: Eukaryota; Metazoa; Arthropoda; Arachnida; Ixodida; Ixodidae
Rfam family: tRNA
About the family: Transfer RNA (tRNA) molecules are approximately 80 nucleotides in length. Their secondary structure includes four short double-helical elements and three loops (D, anti-codon, and T loops).
Source: Rfam by way of RNAcentral